GACGAACGCUGGCGGCGUGCUUAACACAUGCAAGUCGAACGGAAAGGCCCUGCUUGCAGGGUACUCGAGUGGCGAACGGGUGAGUAACACGUGGGUGAUCUGCCCUGCACUUCGGGAUAAGCCUGGGAAACUGGGUCCAAUACCGGAUAGGAGCCAUUUUUAGUGUGAUGGUUGGAAAGUUUUUUCGGUGUAGGAUGAGCUCGCGGCCUAUCAGCUUGUUGGUGGGGUAAUGGCCUACCAAGGCGGCGACGGGUAGCCGGCCUGAGAGGGUGGACGGCCACAUUGGGACUGAGAUACGGCCCAGACUCCUACGGGAGGCAGCAGUGGGGAAUAUUGCACAAUGGGCGCAAGCCUGAUGCAGCGACGCCGCGUGGGGGAUGACGGCCUUCGGGUUGUAAACUCCUUUCGCUAGGGACGAAGCUUUUUGUGACGGUACCUAGAUAAGAAACACCGGCUAACUACGU
Molecule: ribosomal RNA, 464 nt
Filed under: uncultured bacterium
Lineage: Bacteria
Description: partial 16S ribosomal RNA
Rfam family: Bacterial small subunit ribosomal RNA
Source: RNAcentral